UGGGGAAUCUUGCACAAUGGGGGAAACCCUGAUGCAGCGACGCCGCGUGAACGAUGAAGCCCUUCGGGGUGUAAAGUUCUUUCGACAGGAGCGAUAAUGACGGUACCUGGAGAAGAAGCUGCGGCUAACUACGUGCCAGCAGCCGCGGUAAUACGUAGGCAGCGAGCGUUGUUCGGAGUUACUGGGCGUAAAGAGUGCGUAGGCGGCGAGCCAAGUUUGGUGUGAAAUCUACCGGCUUAACCGGGAGGGUGCGCCGAAAACUGGUUGGCUGGAGUAUGGGAGAGGAAAGCGGAAUUCCUGGUGUAGCGGUGAAAUGCGUAGAUAUCAGGAGGAACACCUGCGGUGUAGACAGCUUUCUGGACCAAAACUGACGCUGAGGCACGAAAGCGUUGGUAGCAAACA
Molecule: ribosomal RNA, 402 nt
Filed under: uncultured bacterium
Lineage: Bacteria
Description: bacterial SSU rRNA
Rfam family: Bacterial small subunit ribosomal RNA
Source: RNAcentral